GGUUAAGUGACUAAGCGUACACGGUGGAUGCCUUGGCAGUCAGAGGCGAUGAAAGACGUAGUAACUUGCGAUAAGCCCAGAUUAGGUAGUAACAACCAUUUGAGUCUGGGAUUUCUGAAUGGGGAAACCCACGUGCAUAAGCACGUAUCCUUACCUGAAUACAUAGGGUAAGGAGGCGAACCGGGGGAACUGA
This 193-nucleotide ribosomal RNA is filed under the name Vibrio parahaemolyticus. RNAcentral describes it as "partial 23S ribosomal RNA". It matches the Rfam family "Bacterial large subunit ribosomal RNA", at positions 1 to 196 of the family's 2925-position model. Lineage: Bacteria; Pseudomonadati; Pseudomonadota; Gammaproteobacteria; Vibrionales; Vibrionaceae. The record is from RNAcentral.